GUAGUAAUGGGUAAUGGGGAAUUAGGGUUCGAUUUCAGAGAGGGAGCCUGAAAAAUGGCUACCACAUCCAAGGAAAGCAGCAGGCGCGCAAAUUACCCAAUCCCGACACGGGGAGGUAGUGACAAUAAAUAACAAUACAGGGCCUUUCAGAUCUUGUAAUUGGAAUGAGUACAAUUUAAAUCUCUUAACGAGGAACAAUUGGAGAGCAAGUCUGGUGCCAGCAGCCACAGUAAUUCCAGCUCCAAUAGCGUAUAUUAAAGUUGUUGCAGUUAAAAAGCUCGUAGUUGAUUUUUAGGCCUGGCCGGGCGGUCCAUUUUUGGCGAGUACUGUCUUGUUGUCGGGUCUUCCUUCUGGUGAACCAGUAUGUCCUUUAUUGGGUGUGUUGGGGAGCCAGAACCAUUACCUUGAAAAAAUUAGAGUGUUUAAAGCGGGCUAUUGCUUGAAUAGAUUAGCAUGGAAUAAUAGAAUAGAACGUUGUGGUUCUAUUUUGUUGGUUUCUAGGACCACCGUAAUGAUUAAUAGAGAUAGUUGGGGGCAUUAGUAUUCAAUUGUCAGAGGUGAAAUUCUUGGAUUUAUUGAAGACUAACUAUUGCGAAAGCAUUUGCCAAGGAUGUUUUCAUUAAUCAAGAAUGAAAGUUAGGGGAUCAAAGACGAUCAGAUACCGUCGUAGUCUUAACCAUAAACUAUGCCGACUAGGAAUCAGGCGUCAUU
RNAcentral lists this ribosomal RNA (711 nucleotides) under uncultured Archaeospora. Its description in RNAcentral is "SSU rRNA". It matches the Rfam family "Eukaryotic small subunit ribosomal RNA", at positions 349 to 1064 of the family's 1831-position model. The record is from RNAcentral. Lineage: Eukaryota; Fungi; Glomeromycota; Glomeromycetes; Archaeosporales; Archaeosporaceae.